CAUUUACCCUGUUUAGCCCCAAGAGUUUUUUUUUUUUCUUCUAUUUUUUUAAAAAUCCAGGUUCAGGUCCUGUAUGAUGACUUUCUGUUAUGUCUCCCUCUUUUCUAUGCUGCAUCAUUUUCUUGUGACUAGAGUCUAGUCCAUAUUAUGAUACUCUUUUAUUUGCAUUGGGCAGAACUGACUUCAAGUAGGGUGGCCAAAACUAGACACUUUUAUAAUGAGUUGGAUAAACUAAAACAUGUUCAAAGAAGGGCCCAGAAGAUGAUCAGAGACCUGCAAACUAUGUCUUAUGAAGAAAGUAUGAAGACAUUAAGGCAGUACUGUUUCGCCUUGAGAAGACUGAAAGGAGGGUCAUCAAGUACUUAUAAAGUAUCUGAAAGUUUGUUACAUAGAAGGUCAACAUUUCUUGGAAUAAUUGGUUUAAAUUACAGAAAGGUCAGGCAAAGCAUACGGUCUCCGAACAACCUCCCAGCUGCUCAACCUACCUCUAAAUAUGCCUUUUAAAGUUCUAGCCUUACUAUUUGACUGCUGUGGGUGGAAGAAAUCAGAUGCAGCCCUUCUUUCUUAAAUGAAUGAGCCAAACAUAAAAUUCUCUCCAGCUGAACAAAUGCCUGAGCUUUGUGUAAUAUUGCACUAUUGAUCUUAGUUGUGUACUUUUAAUUGCUUUUCCAGAAAACCAACUGUUCCAUCUUUCAAUCUGAACCCAAUUUAAAAGAUACUUAGAGGUGAUCUGGAUUUGUUGUUUUAAUUUGUGGCCACUGAAUAUGCUAUGCAAUUUCUUUGUUAUUAGUAAUAUGAUAUAAUAAUGGUAUUAUCGUUCAUUGCCUGCAUUUGUUUAACAUGAGAAACAAUAUCAUUUUAACAAUAAAAACUAAAUCAGUUUAACAACUUCA
Molecule: long non-coding RNA, 893 nt
Organism: Pantherophis guttatus
Lineage: Eukaryota; Metazoa; Chordata; Lepidosauria; Squamata; Colubridae
Source: RefSeq, a predicted model, not a curated record